CCUAUAUGAAGUCGGAAUUGCUAGUAAUCGCGGAUCAGCAUGCCGCGGUGAAUACGUUCCCGGGCCUUGUACACACCGCCCGUCACACCAUGAGAGUCGAUAACACCCGAAGCCUGUAGUCUAACCGUUAGGGGGACGCAGUCGAAGGUGGGAUUGAUAAUUAGGGUGAAGUCGUAACAAGGUACC
Molecule: ribosomal RNA, 186 nt
Filed under: uncultured bacterium
Lineage: Bacteria
Description: partial 16S ribosomal RNA
Rfam family: Bacterial small subunit ribosomal RNA
Source: RNAcentral